This 237-nucleotide unclassified non-coding RNA is filed under the name rhizosphere metagenome. RNAcentral's name for it is "partial ribosomal RNA internal transcribed spacer region". The record is from RNAcentral.
GUAGGUGAACCUGCGGAAGGAUCAUUACAGAGUUCAUGCCCUCACGGGUAGACCUCCCACCCUUGUGUAUCUAUACCAUGUUGCUUUGGCAGGCUGCUGGCCCCCUCGGGGGACAGCCUCAGCGCCCUCGGGCCUGAGAGGCGCCUGCCGGAGGAAAAACAAACUCUGAAUUGUUAGUGUCGUCUGAGUACUAUAUUUUAAUAGUUAAAACUUUCAACAACGGAUCUCUUGGUUCUG